RNAcentral lists this ribosomal RNA (119 nucleotides) under Pteropus alecto (black flying fox). Lineage: Eukaryota; Metazoa; Chordata; Mammalia; Chiroptera; Pteropodidae. RNAcentral also lists the same sequence under 1 other name. The record is from RNAcentral.
GUCUGUGGCCAUGCCACCCUGAACAAGCCCGAUCCCAUCUGAUCUCGGAAGCUAAGGAGACUUGGGCCUGGUUAGUACUUGGAUGGGAGACCACCUAGGAAGACCAGGUGCUGUAGGUG